Molecule: non-coding RNA, 45 nt
Filed under: Schistosoma bovis
Lineage: Eukaryota; Metazoa; Platyhelminthes; Trematoda; Strigeidida; Schistosomatidae
Also listed under: 1 other name
Source: RNAcentral
AUCCAGCUGACCAGUCCUAAAUAGGAUGAGACGCACGUCCUGAAU